Molecule: long non-coding RNA, 593 nt
Organism: Frieseomelitta varia
Lineage: Eukaryota; Metazoa; Arthropoda; Insecta; Hymenoptera; Apidae
Exons: 2
Source: RefSeq, a predicted model, not a curated record
GGUGUGAUAGAGGCGGCGAGGAGGUGAGGUGGGGGUGCCCGGCACGGGGCCACGGCGCAGUUGCUACUCAGACACGGGGAUGCUCGCAAUGCCUCUAUCAAAGACGCGUCGCACUGUGUUGUUAUGUGUUGUCAUAGUUAUUUCAUUGAAAAAUUAAUUUCACCGUUUUCGAAACACGCACCGAUUUCUGUCUGUGAAACACAAAGUCUGAACAACUCCUCUUAAGUUUCUGCCGAAACCGGACUUGAUUAUUUAGACCAAGCUUUCGUUCGAGCGUUCCUCAUUUCGAAAUUACGACAAGUAAGAAAAAGACGACGAAGAAACGGAAGAAGAAGAAGAAGAAGGAGAGGGAAAGAAGGAUAACCAAGAAAAAAAAUACCAAAAAAAGCACAAAAAAAGAGAAGAAACGAAAUUAAAACAAAAAAAAGCAUUGCCUUAAGAAAAGAAGAGUAUACCUACACUGUCGAAGGAACAAGCAAGAAACACAGGGGGGGAAAAAGAAUAAUAAAAAAAAAAAAUAACAAAAAAACACUUUAGACGCCUAACAAAGUAAAUUGUAAAGAUAUGACUAAAGUAUAUUUUUAACAAGUUUU